This 492-nucleotide ribosomal RNA is filed under the name uncultured bacterium. RNAcentral's name for it is "partial 16S ribosomal RNA". It matches the Rfam family "Bacterial small subunit ribosomal RNA", at positions 29 to 507 of the family's 1533-position model. The record is from RNAcentral.
AGUGAACGCUGGCGGUAGGCCUAACACAUGCAAGUCGAACGGCAGCACAGUAAGAGCUUGCUCUUACGGGUGGCGAGUGGCGGACGGGUGAGGAAUACAUCGGAAUCUACUUUUUCGUGGGGGAUAACGUGGGGAAACUUACGCUAAUACCGCAUACGACCUACGGGUGAAAGCAGGGGAUCUUCGGACCUUGCGCGAUUGAAUGAGCCGAUGUCGGAUUAGCUAGUUGGCGGGGUAAAGGCCCACCAAGGCGACGAUCCGUAGCUGGCCUGAGAGGAUGAUCAGCCACACUGGAACUGAGACACGGUCCAGACUCCUACGGGAGGCAGCAGUGGGGAAUAUUGGACAAAGGGCGCAAGCCUGAUCCAGCCAUACCGCGUGGGUGAAGAAGGCCUUCGGGUUGUAAAGCCCUUUUGUUGGGAAAGAAAAGCAGCAGGUUAAUACCCCGCUGUUCUGACGGUACCCAAAGAAUAAGCACCGGCUAACUUCGUG